This 322-nucleotide unclassified non-coding RNA is filed under the name uncultured fungus. Its description in RNAcentral is "partial contains small subunit ribosomal RNA, internal transcribed spacer 1, and 5.8S ribosomal RNA". The stretch from base 1 to 73 matches the Rfam family "Eukaryotic small subunit ribosomal RNA", at positions 1759 to 1831 of the family's 1831-position model. Lineage: Eukaryota; Fungi. The record is from RNAcentral.
GCAAACUUGGUCAUUUAGAGGAAGUAAAAGUCGUAACAAGGUUUCCGUAGGUGAACCUGCGGAAGGAUCAUUAAAGUAUUAUUGGGGUUCUUUAUGAGCCUAACAAUCUGACUUUGUGGUAAUAAUGAAAAAUAGGAUUUGGGUUUAAAGAUGAUGCUUCUAAAGAAAUUUAGAGGUAUCGACCCAAACUUUUUUUAUCAACUCUUUUUUUUUUUUACUAUUUGACUGAAUUUAUCAAGUAAUCCAAUUUUUUGGGUUAAAAAAGUUUUAAAUAACUUUCAACAACGGAUCUCUUGGUUCUCGCAUCGAUGAAGAACGCAGC